CCUCAGAGUAGAAGCGGUCAGAACCAGUGCGGUUCGGGACAUUGCUCGGCAA
Molecule: non-coding RNA, 52 nt
Filed under: Tardiphaga robiniae
Lineage: Bacteria; Pseudomonadati; Pseudomonadota; Alphaproteobacteria; Hyphomicrobiales; Nitrobacteraceae
Also listed under: 1 other name
Description: Rhodopseudomonas sp. R-45977 Xanthine riboswitch aptamer (NMT1 RNA)
Rfam family: Xanthine riboswitch aptamer (NMT1 RNA)
About the family: Later it was reported as a ncRNA that recognised Xanthine.
Source: Rfam by way of RNAcentral